This 250-nucleotide ribosomal RNA is filed under the name uncultured bacterium. Its description in RNAcentral is "partial 16S ribosomal RNA". It matches the Rfam family "Bacterial small subunit ribosomal RNA", at positions 524 to 773 of the family's 1533-position model. The record is from RNAcentral.
UACAGAGGGUGCAAGCGUUAAUCGGAAUUACUGGGCGUAAAGGGUGCGUAGGUGGAUGUUUAAGUUAGAUGUGAAAUCCCUGGGCUUAACCUAGGAAUUGCAUUUAAGACUGAACGUCUAGAGAUUGAGAGAGGGAAGUGGAAUUUCCGGUGUAGCGGUGAAAUGCGUAGAUAUCGGAAGGAACACCAGUGGCGAAGGCGGCUUCCUGGCUCAAUACUGACACUGAGGCACGAAAGCGUGGGGAGCGAAC